This 106-nucleotide small nuclear RNA is filed under the name Ovis aries (sheep). Lineage: Eukaryota; Metazoa; Chordata; Mammalia; Artiodactyla; Bovidae. The record is from RNAcentral.
GUGCUUGCUUCGGCAGCACAUAUACUAAAGUUGGAACCAUAUGGGAAUAUUAGCAUGACUCCUGCGCAAGGAUGACAUGCAAAUUUGGAAACUGUUCCAUAUUUUU